RNAcentral lists this ribosomal RNA (700 nucleotides) under uncultured bacterium. RNAcentral describes it as "bacterial SSU rRNA". It matches the Rfam family "Bacterial small subunit ribosomal RNA", at positions 94 to 826 of the family's 1533-position model. The record is from RNAcentral.
AGUGGCGGACGGGUGAGUAACACGUAAGAAUUUGCCUUUAGGAGGGGGACAACAACUGGAAACGGUUGCUAAUACCCCAUAUGCUUUCGAGUGAAAUGGAUUUCCGCCUAAAGAGAAGCUUGCGGCUGAUUAGCUUGUUGGUGAGGUAAUGGCUCACCAAGGCGACGAUCAGUAUCUGGUUUGAGAGGACGAUCAGACACACUGGAACUGAGACACGGUCCAGACUCCUACGGGAGGCAGCAGUGGGGAAUUUUCCGCAAUGGGCGAAAGCCUGACGGAGCAAUACCGCGUGAGGGAUGAAGGCCUAUGGGUUGUAAACCUCUUUUUUCAGGGAGGAAUAAAUGACGUGUACCUGAAGAAUAAGCAUCGGCUAACUCCGUGCCAGCAGCCGCGGUAAGACGGGGGAUGCAAGUGUUAUCCGGAAUCACUGGGCGUAAAGCGUCUGUAGGUGGUUAAGUAAGUCAACUGUUAAAUCUUGAGGCUCAACCUCAAAAUCGCAGUCGAAACUGCUUGACUAGAGUAUGGUAGGGGUAAAGGGAAUUUCCAGUGGAGCGGUGAAAUGCGUAGAUAUUGGAAAGAACACCGAUGGCGAAGGCACUUUACUGGGCUAUUACUAACACUGAGAGACGAAAGCUAGGGUAGCAAAUGGGAUUAGAUACCCCAGUAGUCCUAGCUGUAAACAAUGGAUACUAGAUGUUGA